CAGUAGCCGCGGUAAUACGUAGGGUGCGAGCGUUAAUCGGAAUUACUGGGCGUAAAGCGUGCGCAGGCGGUUCGUUAAGACAGAUGUGAAAUCCCCGGGCUUAACCUGGGAACUGCAUUUGUGACUGGCGAGCUAGAGUAUGGCAGAGGGGGGUAGAAUUCCACGUGUAGCAGUGAAAUGCGUAGAUAUGUGGAGGAAUACCGAUGGCGAAGGCAGCCCCCUGGGCCAAUACUGACGCUCAUGCACGAAAGCGUGGGGAGCAAGCAGGAUUAGAUACCCGAGUAGUCCCUGUCUCUUAUAC
Molecule: ribosomal RNA, 301 nt
Filed under: uncultured bacterium
Lineage: Bacteria
Description: partial 16S ribosomal RNA
Rfam family: Bacterial small subunit ribosomal RNA
Source: RNAcentral